AAAUAACAUUUACCCCAAUGGGAAACAGAGCUUCAUUUUCCAGCAAUGAGGUUUUUGAUCUGGACCUUGAAGUUACCUUUGGAACAGUUUCUACUGCAGGAUUACUGGGAAGAGGCUGUAAUCGAAUUGGAGGCUGCAUAUUUCCUGGAGCAGUAUAUGGUCGAGGGGCUGUCUAGACAAUUAGGGGAAAAAAUUCCAUUUAAAUUAGUAUCUUGACAUGUUUCCAGAACCAAUUAAUAACCCAAUAAAUUGCCUAGAGUAAUUAAUGGUGCCUUUUUACUGAACAGAUUAAACUUUAAUUAUGUCCUUCCAUUAUACAUACCCUUAUGACCCAAAGUAUUUGUUAAAACAUAUGGUGUUGAAGUCCUCUACAUAACUAAAUGGGCUUUGCUCAAUUUAAUGUUACGUUGAAUAAUGUUCCUAUUUUAGGGGUCUAAAAGGAUAUUAUUGGAAUGGACUCAUUUCUGUCUAAAUGUCUUCAAUAUAAACUCUACUCUGAAUC
RNAcentral lists this long non-coding RNA (502 nucleotides) under Homo sapiens (human). RNAcentral's name for it is "HSALNT0009061". Lineage: Eukaryota; Metazoa; Chordata; Mammalia; Primates; Hominidae. The record is from RNAcentral.